This 253-nucleotide ribosomal RNA is filed under the name uncultured bacterium. RNAcentral describes it as "partial 16S ribosomal RNA". It matches the Rfam family "Bacterial small subunit ribosomal RNA", at positions 524 to 776 of the family's 1533-position model. The record is from RNAcentral.
UACGUAGGGUGCGAGCGUUGUCCGGAAUUAUUGGGCGUAAAGAGCUUGUAGGCGGUUUGUCGCGUCUGCCGUGAAAUUUCGAGGCUCAACCUCGAACUUGCGGUGGGUACGGGCAGACUAGAGUGUGGUAGGGGAGACUGGAAUUCCUGGUGUAGCGGUGAAAUGCGCAGAUAUCAGGAGGAACACCGGUGGCGAAGGCGGGUCUCUGGGCCGAAAUUGACGCUGAGGAGCGAAAGCGUGGGGAGCAAACAGG